AAAGCUUUCAAGGAAGGAGAUGGGAUAUGGAGCUCUGGGGUGGGAAUUGUGUGGAAUUGUACCCCUCUUAUCCUAUGGUCUUGUCAAAAUUUUCAUUUUAUAAAUAAAUUUUUUUUAAAAAGGCCUGGGUAGGGAUAGGGACAGACUGAUUAGAAGGGGAUGAGAUAUUCCUUCUUUCUUAGCUGUGAGCCACCCCAUAUUUUAGGCCUUUCCCCCCCAAAUUUACAGGGCUUAAGAGAGAGGAUUAUACAACUGAGGUUGCAUGGCUGCGACAAGAAUGGUAAACUGUACCCCAGACAGAGACUGCUGGAGAAACUAUAGCCCUGUCUAUUUCUGGACAGUCACCAGCAUUCCCCCUUCCUGUUUUGUGUGUGUUGUUUGUUGAUGGGUCAGAUGGACACAUCUGAAGGUCCUCACAGAGGCUCCUGACCCCCGACAUGCAAUUUUGGCUUGUAGAACUCAGAGCCACCCGAGGACACUGGGGCCCUUCAGAGGAAAGGGCAGGCUCAGCACUGCCUCCACUUGAAUGUUGGCUCCUGUUACUGUGGCACCAUGUGACAUGGCUGCUACAAUUGGGUCAGAGUGUCUGCGGGGGCUCAGCCCUCACUUGGCAGUGCAGCUGGGGCUGCUCAGGGCCUCCAGGUGCAUAGAAUUGGGGCACCACACCCUGUUGCUCUGAUCUCUGCUGGCCCCAGUGCAAGAGUCGUGACACCACCUGGGGGCAUCUCUCUUGGGGCUCAUCCAGCCAUGAGUCUGGGCUCAUCUUGCAGGGCUCUGCUGCGCACACCUGCCCUGCCUGGAUGACACUCCAGGCCAUGUCAGACUCUACCUGGAGACCUUCUCAAGACUCAGUCCUGUCUCGCACCCCAUGGGAAAGCCCACUCACCUUCCUGGGUUUCACUUUGUCGUGGUAGUCAUACUGGAAGAUUCCUUUGUAGCUCAGUCCCAGCCACCAUGGGAUGCCCUGUUUGUCCUAGGACAUCAGAAUGGAAGUGGUUAUUGCUGCUUCCACUAUGAAUCCACUGCUCCUGGAGCCUUGUGUAUACACAAUUACACUGUCUCUGGAUUGACAAGCACCACCCCCACCAUUCUUUUUGGAGAGACACCACGAUAGCAGUCCACCAUCCAUGAAGUCCACCCCCAUGCUGUGUUUAGUGCUCCCAUGUGGUGCUGGGGCUUGAACCGAGGCCCUUGUGUAUGGUGAGGCAAUGCCCUUCUGGGUGUUACUGUCUAACUCCCUCACUCACAUUUUCUGUUUCAGUUAGAUCACUUUUCAGAAGUAACAUGUUCUAUCCACUCAUGUCCUAGGCCACGAAGCAGAGGUGGCGGGGGGGGGGGGGGAUGUUUGCUCAAUGAUCACCUUAACCUUCAGUGACAAAUUCAUUUUAGAGUUCCAAAAUUUGACACAUAUAUGAUUUUCUGUAUUUCUAGAAAUCCACAGGUUGGGGAUCAGCUAGGAGGGUCUUUUCUAGUGUUGGAAGGUCAUUCAUGGGGAGGGCUGUCUGGGCAUCCUCUGUUGAGAAAGGGGUGGCACUGGCUGCAUUCCUCCAGGGCCCCCAUACCCAAGUCUUCUCCUUACAGAACUCUCUGGGGCACCCUUCUGGGGCUGACCCAGCCCCUGCACACCUGUGCUUGUGGUUCUUAUUUCAAGGAAACAGGGAAAAGAGCACUCUGCCUGCCAGUUGGGAUUUAGUGAGGGUCUCCUGCAGACCCAAGCAGUGCCAGCUGGGGUCCAGGGAGGGAGGCCUGGCCAGAGGGACCCCUUAUAUCCCAGGGCCACCACUUACCAGUAGGCCAGAGAUGGGUGCUCCUUCAGAGCCUGUGUGGGGAGGGCUGGCAGUUUCUUCAAGUCGCUCCUCACCACUUCAUUGCU
Molecule: long non-coding RNA, 1873 nt
Organism: Erinaceus europaeus (western European hedgehog)
Lineage: Eukaryota; Metazoa; Chordata; Mammalia; Eulipotyphla; Erinaceidae
Exons: 4
Source: RefSeq, a predicted model, not a curated record